AUUGAACGCUGGCGGCAUGCCUUACACAUGCAAGUCGAACGGCAGCACGGGUGCUUGCACCUGGUGGCGAGUGGCGAACGGGUGAGUAAUACAUCGGAACGUACCUUAUCGUGGGGGAUAACGCAGCGAAAGCUGUGCUAAUACCGCAUACGCCCUGAGGGGGAAGGCGGGGGAUCGAAAGACCUCGCGCGAUUAGAGCGGCCGAUGCCUGAUUAGCUUGUUGGUGGGGUAAAAGCCCACCAAGGCGACGAUCAGUAGCUGGUCUGAGAGGACGAUCAGCCAAACUGGGACUGAGACACGGCCCAGACUCCUACGGGAGGCAGCAGUGGGGAAUUUUGGACAAUGGGGGCAACCCUGAUCCAGCAAUGCCGCGUGAGUGAAGGAGGCCUUCGGGUUGUAAAGCUCUUUUGUCAGGGAAGAAACACCGGCUCUAACACAGUCCGGGAAUGACGGUACCUGAAGAAUAAGCACCGGCUAACUACGUGCCAGCCGCCGCGGUAA
Molecule: ribosomal RNA, 501 nt
Filed under: uncultured bacterium
Lineage: Bacteria
Description: partial 16S ribosomal RNA
Rfam family: Bacterial small subunit ribosomal RNA
Source: RNAcentral